GAGUUUCAAUAGUUUAGACUUAUCAAUGACUAAAAUUCAAUAGCUGAGAUUUGUUUACCUAUCUAUUCUCACCAACCCACUGCACUUACCAGCUAAGCCACUCUUUACAUCAUAUGUAUCAAUAUGUAUCAAUGAACACAGCUCAAUCGAAGGAAGAAAGCUCUGAAGAAGGAAGAACACAGCUCAAUCGAAAACUGUCUUCUCCACCAUCAUCAGAUUUUCAGGUCACCUGCUAAACCGCUUGUGCCGGCUGUUUCUGGACGAGUCCAAGAGCAUUGGCUGGUGCUUAAAUUGUUAUUUGGCAUUUUUUUUGUAUUGCAGACCAUUGACUGGUGUGCUUAAUUUGCUGUUUAUUUUUUUUCUAUUGCAGAACAUUGGCUGGCGUAUAUAGAUGUUUCUGUGUUGUGGGACUUACAUUUUGUUGUUUGUUUAAAAUCUUAUACUUUUGUUUUGCUUGAAUUUUAUGUAGAAUUUAUGUGUUUACUUUUCACUAUUUUGUU
Camellia sinensis is the source of this 500-nucleotide non-coding RNA. The record is from RefSeq and is a predicted model, not a curated record. NCBI's taxonomy places the organism in Eukaryota, Viridiplantae, Streptophyta, Magnoliopsida, Ericales, Theaceae.